Molecule: ribosomal RNA, 34 nt
Filed under: Pratylenchus bolivianus
Lineage: Eukaryota; Metazoa; Nematoda; Chromadorea; Rhabditida; Pratylenchidae
Description: partial 18S ribosomal RNA
Source: RNAcentral
GUUUCCCGUAGGUGAACCUGCUGCUGGAUCAUUA